UGAGGGAAUAUUGGGUCAAUGGGGCGAGAGCCUGAACCAGCCAAGUAGCGUGCAGGACGACGGCCCUACGGGUUGUAAACUGCCUUUAUGAAGGAAUAAAGUCACCCACGUGUGGGUGUUUGCAUGUACUUUAUGAAUAAGGACCGGCUAAUUCCGUGCCAGCAGCCGCGGUAAUACGGAAGGUCCGGGCGUUAUCCGGAUUUAUUGGGUUUAAAGGGAGCGUAGGCCGCCUGGUAAGCGUGUUGUGAAAUGUCGUUGCUCAACAACGUCACUGCAGCGCGAACUGCCGGGCUUGAGUGUGCGGAAAGCGGGCGGAAUUUGUGGUGUAG
Molecule: ribosomal RNA, 329 nt
Filed under: uncultured Prevotellaceae bacterium
Lineage: Bacteria; Pseudomonadati; Bacteroidota; Bacteroidia; Bacteroidales; Prevotellaceae
Description: bacterial SSU rRNA
Rfam family: Bacterial small subunit ribosomal RNA
Source: RNAcentral